AACGAACGCUGGCGGCAGGCUUAACACAUGCAAGUCGAACGCCCCGCAAGGGGAGUGGCAGACGGGUGAGUAACGCGUGGGAAUCUACCCAUCCCUACGGAACAACUCCGGGAAACUGGAGCUAAUACCGUAUACGCCCUUAGGGGGAAAGAUUUAUCGGGGAUGGAUGAGCCCGCGUUGGAUUAGCUAGUUGGUGGGGUAAAGGCCUACCAAGGCGACGAUCCAUAGCUGGUCUGAGAGGAUGAUCAGCCACAUUGGGACUGAGACACGGCCCAAACUCCUACGGGAGGCAGCAGUGGGGAAUAUUGGACAAUGGGCGCAAGCCUGAUCCAGCCAUGCCGCGUGAGUGAUGAAGGCCUUAGGGUUGUAAAGCUCUUUCACCGAUGAAGAUAAUGACGGUAGUCGGAGAAGAAGCCCCGGCUAACUUCGUGCCAGCCGCCGCCGUAA
RNAcentral lists this ribosomal RNA (447 nucleotides) under uncultured bacterium. Its description in RNAcentral is "partial 16S ribosomal RNA". It matches the Rfam family "Bacterial small subunit ribosomal RNA", at positions 29 to 523 of the family's 1533-position model. The record is from RNAcentral.